UGCAUUUGUGUGCACACAGCAUGUUUUCUAAUCCUUUAAUCAUUCUUGUGGCUCUUCGCUGAACCUUCUCCAAUGAAUCAUCAGCCUUCUUGAAUUGUGGGCACCAGAACUGGACACAGUAUCCAGCAGCAGU
Molecule: non-coding RNA, 133 nt
Organism: Chelonoidis abingdonii (Abingdon island giant tortoise)
Lineage: Eukaryota; Metazoa; Chordata; Testudines; Testudinidae
Source: RefSeq, a predicted model, not a curated record